GUGGGGAAUUUUGGACAAUGGGCGCAAGCCUGAUCCAGCCAUUCCGCGUGAGUGAAGAAGGCCUUCGGGUUGUAAAGCUCUUUCGCAAGGGAAGAAAACUUAGUCUCUAACAUAGACUGAGGUUGACGGUACCUUGAUAAGAAGCACCGGCUAACUACGUGCCAGCAGCCGCGGUAAUACGUAGGGUGCGAGCGUUAAUCGGAAUUACUGGGCGUAAAGCGUGCGCAGGCGGUUUUGUAAGUCAGAUGUGAAAUCCCCGAGCUCAACUUGGGAACUGCGUUUGAAACUACAAGACUAGAAUAUGUCAGAGGGGGGUAGAAUUCCACGUGUAGCAGUGAAAUGCGUAGAGAUGUGGAGGAAUACCAAUGGCGAAGGCAGCCCCCUGGGAUAAUAUUGACGCUCAUGCACGAAAGCGUGGGGAGCAAACAGGAUUAGAAACCCUUGUAGUCC
RNAcentral lists this ribosomal RNA (450 nucleotides) under uncultured bacterium. RNAcentral's name for it is "bacterial SSU rRNA". It matches the Rfam family "Bacterial small subunit ribosomal RNA", at positions 354 to 796 of the family's 1533-position model. The record is from RNAcentral.